Molecule: ribosomal RNA, 469 nt
Filed under: bacterium A5T_VP8_A12
Lineage: Bacteria
Description: bacterial SSU rRNA
Rfam family: Bacterial small subunit ribosomal RNA
Source: RNAcentral
UCAUACGGGAGGCAGCAGUGGGGAAUAUUGGACAAUGGGCGAAAGCCUGAUCCAGCCAUGCCGCGUGUGUGAAGAAGGUCUUCGGAUUGUAAAGCACUUUAAGUUGGGAGGAAGGGCAGUAAGUUAAUACCUUGCUGUUUUGACGUUACCGACAGAAUAAGCACCGGCUAACUUCGUGCCAGCAGCCGCGGUAAUACGAAGGGUGCAAGCGUUAAUCGGAAUUACUGGGCGUAAAGCGCGCGUAGGUGGUUCGUUAAGUUGGAUGUGAAAGCCCCGGGCUCAACCUGGGAACUGCAUCCAAAACUGGCGAGCUAGAGUAUGGCAAAGGGUGGUGGAAUUUCCUGUGUAGCGGUGAAAUGCCUAAAUAUAGGAAGGAACACCAUUGGCGAAAGGGGACCACCUGGGCUAAUACUGACACCUAAGGUGCGAAAACUGUGGGGAAGCAAACAGGCAUUAAAACCCCCGGGGA